Acanthopagrus latus (yellowfin seabream) is the source of this 659-nucleotide long non-coding RNA. RefSeq lists it as uncharacterized. The record is from RefSeq and is a predicted model, not a curated record. NCBI's taxonomy places the organism in Eukaryota, Metazoa, Chordata, Actinopteri, Spariformes, Sparidae. The transcript has 5 exons.
GGACGCUUGUGUUUGUGCGGCUCGACAGGCUGUCAGGCUGCUAACCUGAACCUGGGAGCCGGUGAUCCUCACAAGGAGACAAACUCUUCAAGCCUGAGUAUACCCAACUGUUGCAGUGGAAAAAUAUCUGAUGAAAUCAGCGCAAGGGAAGGUCCCUUUUAUUCAACUCACACCUGCGGCUUCCCUCAGCUGGGCGGUCAUUUGGCAGAUUUCGGCAGGCAGUUGGCGAGACGUCGUUAAGUCAAGCAGUCCCCUGAGAGACUCAGACUGACUCAGUGUAAACACGCACUGUGAUGGUCCAUCUCUGGAGGUUGUGUCUGACUGCCUCCGAGCAGGUUGCGAUGGGCUUUGUCAUCAUUCAGGGACAAAUGGUAGCCUCCCCUUCGUCUUUAUCUUCUGGAUCGAUUCAUGCCAUUUUUCAACUACUACCUCUGGCCGUGCUGAGUCAAAAUGCACCACGCUGAUUUGCUUUUCCAUCACCAGUUUUUCUGCGCCUAGUUGAGCGGAACUGUGCCCGAGAUAGACCUGCUCCAGAGUAGGGCCAAGCCAUGGCCGCCUUGCCUCCAAGCGGACCCAGGUGAAGAUUUACUUAGUAAGGCCAUGCUAGCUCAGUUAUGGAAAGGAGCUUUUGGAAAUGUCUCAAAAAAAGAGGAAUUGUU